RNAcentral lists this long non-coding RNA (1598 nucleotides) under Piliocolobus tephrosceles (Ugandan red Colobus). RNAcentral describes it as "lncRNA (ENSPTEG00000004667.1)". The record is from RNAcentral. Lineage: Eukaryota; Metazoa; Chordata; Mammalia; Primates; Cercopithecidae.
CAUUGUCAACAAAAGUAACAAUUGUAAUAAUAAAAAUGAUAAAAAGAGUAACAACAUAAACAAAGAAAAAAAUAAUGGAAAAAAAAUAAACAAGGAUAUUUAUAAGAUAGUAGAUGGAAUUGGAACUGAUAACAAUAGUAACAAUAGUAGUAAUGGUAAUAAUGACCAUAUUAUUGAGAAAGACAAUACUAACAAGUUGAAUGAUAAAGACAACAAAGACAACAUUGUAGUUGAACAAGUUACUGUAAAUAAUAAUGAAGAAUACGAAAUUAAAGAUAAACAAAAUUAUAAUAAAGGCAGUAAAAAAGGUGAACAAGGUAUUAUUCCAAAUUGUAAUAUUUUAGAACUUAACCAACAAAAUCAACAAAAUCAACAUAAAAAUAUGAAUCGAAAAAACAAGAAAAAUAAAAAAAAUGAUAGUAACAAAAUUCCAAAUAAUACUAAAACUGUUAAAAAUGAAGUGAAAAUAAAGAAUAUAUUUGUUACUAAUGUGGACAGUAAUAGUAGUAACAACAUUGUAGCUGCUACAACAAAUGGAAUUACGUUUGGUAAAAAAAGUGGUAGUAAUAAUAAUAAUACAUAAUAAUAAUAAUAAUAAUAAUAAUAAUAAUAAUAAUAAUGACACUAUUUUGAUGAAUAGUUUAAAUGCAAGUAAUAUAUACAAAAAAACAAGUAUACAUAAAAAUGUAACAAAAAAGUAUUAUAAUGAGAAAGGAGAAAAUGAAGUAGUAAAUGUAACAGAAAAUGGUACAUAUGUUGAUAUAAAAUCUAUAAUAAAUAAUGCUAUUGAAACAAAUAAUAAUAUUUUGACUUAUGAUACACAUAAUAAUUAUAUUAAUAUAUCUGAUAGUAAUAAUUUUAAUCAAUUAAAUCAUGAUGAAUAUUAUGACAGAUAUGAUAUUAACGUUAACAAUUGUGGUAAUGAUAAUUAUGUAAAUAAAGAUACAUAUACAGGUAUAGAAAAUUAUAACAAUGUGAAUAUAUACAAUAACAAAAAUAAUAGUAACAAUCAAUAUAGCGGUAAUAAUAAUAUCUCUUAUGAAUAUAAUUAUAAUAAAUAUUUGAAUGAAAAUAUUAAUAACAGUUCAGAACAAGAACAGCAAAAAGAAAAGCAAAAAGAAAAGCAAAAAGAACAAAAAAAAGAACAAAAAAAAGAACAAAAAAAAGAACAAAAAAAUGAACAAAAAAAUGAACAAAAAAAUGAACAAAAAAANNNNNNNNNNGAACAAAAAAAUGAACAAAAAAAUGAACAAAAAAAUGAACAAAAAAAUGAACAAGAAACAAAUCUAAAAUUAACAACAUUUUCACCUUGUAAUUACGAGGAGAAUAAUAAAAAUACAUCUAUGGAUAAAAUAAAUCAUAAAAACAAUAUAGUAGAGAUAAAUAAUAAUUAUAAUAAUAAUAAUAAUAAUAAUAAUGCACUAAUAAAUAAUGAUAAUAAAUACUCAUAUAAUAAUAUAUGUAAUGAUAUGUUUUAUGGUAAUGAUGACAUUUAUAAUAUAUUUUCAAGAUUUGAUUCGAUGAAAAUUUAUGAAGGUAAUAACAAUAGCGGUUUUAAUAAUGGCAGCAACAACAACAGUAACAGUAAUAACAACAGU